This 76-nucleotide transfer RNA is filed under the name Hirschia baltica ATCC 49814. Its description in RNAcentral is "tRNA-Asn (GTT) (tRNA-Asn-GTT-1-1)". It matches the Rfam family "tRNA". Rfam says of the family: Transfer RNA (tRNA) molecules are approximately 80 nucleotides in length. Their secondary structure includes four short double-helical elements and three loops (D, anti-codon, and T loops). RNAcentral also lists the same sequence under 2 other names. Lineage: Bacteria; Pseudomonadati; Pseudomonadota; Alphaproteobacteria; Hyphomonadales; Hyphomonadaceae. The record is from RNAcentral.
UCCGCGAUAGCUCAGUUGGUAGAGCAAUCGACUGUUAAUCGAUUGGUCGCAGGUUCGAGUCCUGCUCGCGGAGCCA